Molecule: long non-coding RNA, 1246 nt
Filed under: Paramuricea clavata
Lineage: Eukaryota; Metazoa; Cnidaria; Anthozoa; Malacalcyonacea; Plexauridae
Source: RNAcentral
CCCCGGCGAAAAAGGGCGUGGCAGGGGCUUAACUCGAAAAGGGCUUAACUCGAAGGGCUUAACCAUAGAUAUCUCAUAUACACUAGAUAGCGCAUCCCACCCUGUAGGCAGGCGAAAAUUGAAGCCUGAUCGCAGUCGCAGUUUACGUGCGGCGGCCAUAUUGGUCGUUCCCACGGAGCGUAAUAAUUUGUAUAUUUUGUAUUGCGGAAAUGAACAAAGUUGACAAUAAAUCCUCUUUUAUGCAGUCAAUUUUGGUUUUUCAAGUGUGCAACUUGUUGUAAAUGAUGCCAGAUCGUUGGAGCUUCAUAUUGUGAAUAACGGGUAGGCAGAAUUUUAUUUUUUUUUUCAAAAAUAUCAAUAUUUGUCGACCCGUAUGAAGGGCGCCCAUAGGACAAACCUUAUGGACAAACCAUCAUUGUUGAUGUAUAUAUAAAUAUAGUUCCACCAAUUCCAAAUAAAACAUUUUGAGCCAUCGCCAUUGCUUCAUGGCAAAAUUGUGAAUGUAUUUGCAUAUUCUUUUGUAAAAGACAGCGACACUGAAAAACAUAUUUUAGUCACAGUUUAUCAAUGGCAAAAAUAGACUUUAAUUAUAAAAUCUUAAAUAGUCAAUAUAUAAAACAUUGAUACCAAAAAUGGUUCUUACUCCUUACUAUUUGUAUAUUUAUUACAUACAUACAACAUAUCAUAUAUUAUUUUAUAGUUCCAUGGAAUCACAUCAAGAUUAAAAUGUGUUAGAAGCUAGAGAAGAAUAAUUGCAACUUAGUAUAUUCGCAGGCAAUAUAACAUAAUUGAUAUUCUAAUGCUUUAUGUAAAUGUAGUUGAUAAUCAAACUUUCUAAAACCUUCAAUUGUAUGAAUGCUUCAAACUAUCUUUAAUAUUUGAUGUUAAGAAAUAUUUCUUUCUGUUGAGUCCUAGACCUUUUGUUUUUAAUUCAAGCAAUCAAACUGCCAAAUUACUGUAAUUAUUAACAGCAUAGGUCAUUGAUAAUCAGCUGAAUUUUAGAACUGCUUUGGGAAACCCUAUUUUGUAAUGAGACACAUUACUUCUUGCAUUAUUGUAUAUUGUAAGGUCAAUGGGAUAAAAUGCUUGAUGCACAGUAGAUUUUAUAAUCUUAAAUAUAGUUGCACUCACUAUUGUAUAAAUAAUUCUAUUGUUAUAAUAAAGUAUUACUUUUGACUUUGUGUAAUAGUGUUUUCUAAUUCUUUGACUCAUCAGAUGCACAAUAAUUAAACUUUUCUAAAAAAAU